AUGGCUUUUCUGUGUUCCUGUGUAUAUGUGUAACUUUGAUUAACUGGCGCCACUGAUUGUUUUCUCGACCCUGAGAAAACACAAGAAGCUCGGACGAGAACCUUGUUUUGAAUAUGAUUGUUAAACACAUACGGCGUCAGCAUUAGAUAAAUCUAAGUACACUCUUAGAAAAAAGGGUUCAUGGGGGUGCUAUAUAGAACCAUGGGGGUCUUAGCCAAGGAGAUAGAACCUUUUGCCUAAAAAGGGUGCUAUUUCAUGCACCUGAGGGUUAUUUGAACUUCAACGACCGUUUAUGGAAUCUUUCUGAAGGCGUUCAUUCUUCACUGGAUUUAACGGUAAGUGACACACAACCCUAAUCCCUUUCAUUUCAAUCAUAAUCAUUACCCGUGUUGUCUGCAAAUCAAAGCCAGAAAUUAUGCCCCUUAAGUAAAAAACAAGGGGCGUUCUUCGUAAACGUCAGUGGGCGUUAACCGGUCAGCUGUUAGCUAGAAUCUGUAAAUUCGUUGUCUCUGAAUGAUUUUAGCAGCAGCUAGCUAUCCUAUCCUGUCACCCUACUGGAUCCAUCAUUAAGAUUAGUUUUCUACAUCCUUGUCAGGCUGACAAUAAAAUCAACUAUAGAAUAUAUGAUUUUGAGUUUGUAUCCACUAUUGUUGUUCAAUGAUAUUCACUGUCCUCCCGGCUCCCGAUAAGUUAAGCUAACUAAAUUUAGCGUGCUAGCUAGCAUGGCGAGUUGCCAUUAACUAGCUAGCUACAAACGUCAGCCAGCAAUGCAAAAUCAGAAUGAUAUGGCAGUAACUACUUCAUUACCAGGCUAUCUAGUUAAAUUACAGGAAACCAGCCAUCAAGUACAUAUAAUUGAGUUGUAUCAUUGUCAACACAAGUUUUUUGUUUUAUUUUUCGUUUUAAAGAACAGGAAAUUGAUGGAGACUACUGGGCCUCACUGAACGGAUGGUUGAAGAACUAUCCCCGUCUAUGAAAUUGCAGGUGAUGUUUGUGAAGGAACUGAACUAGCUCCUAGAACAACAUGAAGUUGGAUUGCCCCUGGACCAUGCUGACAGCAUAGGCAAAAGACUGUCCUGUCUAGACUGUCCUGUGCCAGUGUUGAGAAUGAUGCUUCGACAAAGACCAUGCUCGUCUUCUUUGACCCAACCAUGGCCAACAGUAUUCAGUCUGCCCACCUUCCCCCCAUAAAAAGUAAGUGAAUUACAGUGUAAAGACUAAAAAUAAAACCAUUUGAGUAGGCAAGUUCUAAUUACAAUGAAUGAUCUUUCAGGUACCCAAACCAUAAAAAAUAUACAGAUGUUCUGGGAUCUCAUCACCAGAUUUCCGUUUCUUGGAGAACACAGCUCCUCUGGUAUGUUCUUUCCCAACUGUUAUGCAAAACAUUAUUCCUCAGUUCAAUUUCUAUACUACUUUGAUUUUGUGCCAGCCUCAUAAUUUAUGUCUAUACCCACAGGAGACCCUUUUUUAUUCUUGCUUGUCUUUAGCCCAACUGUGUGCCUAUGUCUGUAUGUCUAUCUGCUUGCUAGUCACAGUUGUCAUUGAUUGCCGGUCUUAAUUCUUAAUUUUACACAUUUCUUAUGGCUAAUUUCAGAGAGAAAAUAAGUGCAGAUUGGAAAACGCAGUCCAGAUGCUUUCUGGGAAUUAUCCAACACAAGAGGUUUGCAAUAUUUUUGUGAAUGAGAUACGGAAUUAUAUUCUCUAUUGUUUAAACAAGGUAUGUGUUGGUUUUUAACAGUGCAAAUUGACAUUUUUUUCCCUUACACACUUCUCAUUUACAUAGGAACCACCCAACUAAUUUCCGGUCAUCAGCCUCCACGAUGCAGACUCGCCUCCUUGCCUGGAGAGCAUCCAUUAUGAUGGAUGGCAUCACCAUCAUAAGCGGCGAGAUGGAUGUGGCACAUGCCAUUCAAUGUCUGCUGGAGAUGUACUUCGUCAUUGGUGUGGAGUACCCCCGGCAGAUCAAGCAUACCCUUAGCUUUUCAGAGCAUUAUCUUUUCAAAAUACAAAGUUAAAAAAAAGUGUCCAUCCCUGUUCUGAAAUUAUAUAACCAG
Clupea harengus (Atlantic herring) is the source of this 2054-nucleotide long non-coding RNA. RefSeq lists it as uncharacterized. The record is from RefSeq and is a predicted model, not a curated record. NCBI's taxonomy places the organism in Eukaryota, Metazoa, Chordata, Actinopteri, Clupeiformes, Clupeidae.